AAGAUUUUAAUAGUCGAACAGACUAAAAUUUAAUUAUUUUUACUUAAUUAUUUUAUCUUAAUUCAACAUCGAGGUCAUAAUCAAUUUUUUCAAUAUGAUCUCUCUAAAAUUAUUAUG
This 117-nucleotide ribosomal RNA is filed under the name Leptocybe invasa. Its description in RNAcentral is "partial 16S ribosomal RNA". The record is from RNAcentral. Lineage: Eukaryota; Metazoa; Arthropoda; Insecta; Hymenoptera; Eulophidae.